RNAcentral lists this ribosomal RNA (576 nucleotides) under uncultured eukaryote. RNAcentral describes it as "SSU rRNA". It matches the Rfam family "Eukaryotic small subunit ribosomal RNA", at positions 174 to 758 of the family's 1831-position model. The record is from RNAcentral.
UAAAAACCCCGACUUCGGAAGGGGUGCAUUUAUUAGAUACAAAACCAAUGCCCUUCGGGGCUCUUUGGUGAUUCAUGAUAACUAUACGAAUCGCACGGCCUUGCGCCGGCGAUGGUUCAUUCAAAUUUCUUCCCUAUCAACUUUCGAUGUUUGGGUAUUGGCCAAACAUGGUUGCAACGGGUAACGGAGGGUUAGGGCUCGACCCCGGAGAAGGAGCCUGAGAAACGGCUACUACAUCCAAGGAAGGCAGCAGGCGCGCAAAUUACCCAAUCCCGACUCGGGGAGGUAGUGACAAUAAAUACUGAUACAGGGCCCUUUCGGGCCUUGUAAUUGGAAUGAGUACAAUUUAAAUCCCUUAACGAGGAACAAUUGGAGGGCAAGUCUGGUGCCAGCAGCCGCGGUAAUUCCAGCUCCAAUAGCGUAUAUUAAAGUUGUUGUGGUUAAAAAGCUCGUAGUUGAACCUUGGGCCUGGCUGGCCGGUCCGCCUCACCGCGUGCACUGGUCCGGCCGGGCCUUUCCCUCUGUGGAACCCCAUACCCUUCACUGGGCGUGGCGGGGAAACAGGACAUUUACUUU